UCGCCUGCUCCCCCAACCAGCACCCCCUUCCAUUCUUCCCCAAAACAUAUCUUCCAUUUCUCUUUUCUCGCCGCCUGCCCCCCUCCCCCCUGCAUCAGUCUUGUAGUGUUUUGUCGCCGUCACUAUUUUCACCACUCCUGCAAACGCCCCCUUCAUUAAAACACUACAAAGGCUAUUAGAAUUGAAUAAACACUACAAUAUUUUUAAUGGUGUUCCUCAAUGAUCGGAGGAAUUUUUUGGCGAUGGCAGUGGAGCUGUUGGUGGUAAAGGGAAGAGAUGGUGGAGUAAGAAAAAAAAUAAAGAUAAAGUCAAUAAUUUAUUUUUCUAUGUGGCACUAGUAAUGACGUGGCAUCCUACGUGUAGGAGAUUGUAUUACACGCACAGCAGCCUCCUGUCAUAAGCGUUUAUUAUUCACGUUUUAAACGAGUAUAAGUGUUCAGUUGGCAAAUAUCUAACUUUGAGGAACGGCAUAAUAAAGUGCGUGAAGUACAUGUGCCAUUUAGACUAUUCUGCCAAAAAUAUUUUCUAUUUACUCCGACGGUUGUUGUCCUCCACAAGGCUGCUUCUAGUAGCAAUUUCUUUUCCUUUGUCAACAAUAGCGUGCUUGAGGUAAAAAUUAUCUCUACCAAAGAUAGCAACAUUAGCAAUGUUAUUCUCCAUAAUAACUAUGUGGAAAUAUCCUUAAGAUUGUUGUAAAAAUUUGAUGGAUAUGGAGAAUAAAUGUUUAGCUUGAGGCGUGUCAGAGACACUGUCCUUAAAGAUAUUUCGCACACACAGUAAUAUAUAAAAUUAGAUGUAUUCCCAAGAUUUGUUUAGCUUGAGGCGUGUCAGAGACAUUGUCCUUAAGGAUAUUUCGCCCAUAUAGUGAUAUAUAAAAUUAGGCGUAUCCCCCAAGAUUUAACAAGCCCUUCUAGUAUAAUUAGGAACAGAAACAAUAAAAAUUUAUAAAAGAAGAAAAUUCCAGCACAAAGAAAAAAAGAACUAAAGAUAUU
This 992-nucleotide long non-coding RNA is filed under the name Nicotiana benthamiana. Its description in RNAcentral is "long non-coding RNA (NBEN_LNC023503)". The record is from RNAcentral. Lineage: Eukaryota; Viridiplantae; Streptophyta; Magnoliopsida; Solanales; Solanaceae.